Molecule: ribosomal RNA, 474 nt
Filed under: uncultured bacterium
Lineage: Bacteria
Description: bacterial SSU rRNA
Rfam family: Bacterial small subunit ribosomal RNA
Source: RNAcentral
GAUGAACGCUAGCGGCAGGCUUAAUACAUGCAAGUCGUGGGGCAGCAUGAGUAGCAAUACUUGAUGGCGACCGGCAAACGGGUGAGGAACACGUACACAACCUUCCUUCAAGCGGGGAAUAGCCCAGAGAAAUUUGGAUUAAUACCCCAUAAUAUAUUUGAUAAGGCAUCUUAUUAAUAUUAAAGCUUCGGCACUUGAUGAUGGGUGUGCGGCUGAUUAGAUAGUUGGCGGGGUAACGGCCCACCAAGUCUACGAUCAGUAGCUGAUGUGAGAGCAUGAUCAGCCACACGGGCACUGAGACACGGGCCCGACUCCUACGGGAGGCAGCAGUAAGGAAUAUUGGACAAUGGACGAAAGUCUGAUCCAGCCAUGCCGCGUGAAGGAUUAAGGUCCUCUGGAUUGUAAACUUCUUUUAUAUGGGACGAAAAAAGGGCAUUCUUGUUCACUUGACGGUACCAUAUGAAUAAGCACCGG